This 254-nucleotide ribosomal RNA is filed under the name uncultured bacterium. RNAcentral's name for it is "partial small subunit ribosomal RNA". It matches the Rfam family "Bacterial small subunit ribosomal RNA", at positions 26 to 285 of the family's 1533-position model. The record is from RNAcentral.
AGGACGAACGCUGGCGGCGUGCUUAACACAUGCAAGUCGAGCGGAAAGGCCCUUCGGGGUACUCGAGCGGCGAACGGGUGAGUAACACGUGAGCAACCUGCCCUUAGCUCCGGGAUAGCUCCGGGAAACCGGAAUUAAUACCGGAUACGACCACGGCCGACAUCUGCUGUGGUGGAAAGGAUUCCGGCUAAGGAUGGGCUCGCGGCCUAUCAGCUAGUUGGUGGAGUAACGGCCCACCAAGGCGACGACGAGUA